GUGUCAGCAGCCGCGGUAAUACGGAGGGUGCAAGCGUUAAUCGGAAUUACUGGGCGUAAAGCGUGCGUAGGCGGUUGUUUAAGUCAGAUGUGAAAGCCCUGGGCUUAACCUGGGAACUGCAUUUGAUACUGGGCAACUAGAGUUUAGUAGAGGGGAGUGGAAUUUCAGGUGUAGCGGUGAAAUGCGUAGAGAUCUGAAGGAACACCAGUGGCGAAGGCGGCUCCCUGGACUAAAACUGACGCUGAGGUACGAAAGCGUGGGUAGCAAACAGGAUUAGAUACCCUCGUAGUCC
Molecule: ribosomal RNA, 292 nt
Filed under: uncultured prokaryote
Description: partial 16S ribosomal RNA
Rfam family: Bacterial small subunit ribosomal RNA
Source: RNAcentral